RNAcentral lists this ribosomal RNA (334 nucleotides) under uncultured soil bacterium. RNAcentral's name for it is "bacterial SSU rRNA". It matches the Rfam family "Bacterial small subunit ribosomal RNA", at positions 26 to 359 of the family's 1533-position model. The record is from RNAcentral.
AGAUUGAACGCUAGCGGGAUGCUUUACACAUGCAAGUCGAACGGCAGCGCGGACUUCGGUCUGGCGGCGAGUGGCGAACGGGUGAGUAAUAUAGUCGGAACGUGCCCAGUAGCGGGGGAUAACUACGCGAAAGCGUGGCUAAGUACCGCAUACGCCCUACGGGGGAAAGGGGGGGAUCGCAAGACCUCUCACUAUUGGAGCGGCCGAUAUCAGAUUAGCUAGUUGGUGAGGUAAAGGCUCACCAAGGCGACGAUCUGUAGCUGGUUUGAGAGGACGACCAGCCACACUGGGACUGAGACACGGCCCAGACUCCGUACGGGAGGCAGCAGUGGGG